RNAcentral lists this ribosomal RNA (251 nucleotides) under uncultured Bordetella sp. RNAcentral's name for it is "partial 16S ribosomal RNA". It matches the Rfam family "Bacterial small subunit ribosomal RNA", at positions 524 to 774 of the family's 1533-position model. The record is from RNAcentral. Lineage: Bacteria; Pseudomonadati; Pseudomonadota; Betaproteobacteria; Burkholderiales; Alcaligenaceae.
UACGUAGGGUGCAAGCGUUAAUCGGAAUUACUGGGCGUAAAGCGUGCGCAGGCGGUUCGGAAAGAAAGAUGUGAAAUCCCAGGGCUUAACCUUGGAACUGCAUUUUUAACUACCGGGCUAGAGUGUGUCAGAGGGAGGUGGAAUUCCGCGUGUAGCGGUGAAAUGCGUAGAUAUGCGGAGGAACUCCGAUGGCGAAGGCAGCCUCCUGGGAUAACACUGACGCUCAUGCACGAAAGCGUGGGGCGCAUUCA